This 455-nucleotide ribosomal RNA is filed under the name Streptococcus sp. oral taxon 071. RNAcentral describes it as "bacterial SSU rRNA". It matches the Rfam family "Bacterial small subunit ribosomal RNA", at positions 28 to 467 of the family's 1533-position model. The record is from RNAcentral. Lineage: Bacteria; Bacillati; Bacillota; Bacilli; Lactobacillales; Streptococcaceae.
GACGAACGCUGGCGGCGUGCCUAAUACAUGCAAGUAGAACGCUGAAGAGAGGAGCUUGCUCUUCUUGGAUGAGUUGCGAACGGGUGAGUAACGCGUAGGUAACCUGCCUGGUAGCGGGGGAUAACUAUUGGAAACGAUAGCUAAUACCGCAUAAAAUGGAUUAUCGCAUGAUAAUCCAUUGAAAGGUGCAAAUGCAUCACUACCAGAUGGACCUGCGUUGUAUUAGCUAGUUGGUGGGGUAACGGCUCACCAAGGCGACGAUACAUAGCCGACCUGAGAGGGUGAUCGGCCACACUGGGACUGAGACACGGCCCAGACUCCUACGGGAGGCAGCAGUAGGGAAUCUUCGGCAAUGGACGGAAGUCUGACCGAGCAACGCCGCGUGAGUGAAGAAGGUUUUCGGAUCGUAAAGCUCUGUUGUAAGAGAAGAACGAGUGUGAGAGUGGAAAGUUCAC